GAUCCUGGCUCAGGAUGAACGCUGGCGGCGUGCUUAACACAUGCAAGUCGAACGGAGAUAUCAUUUUCGAAGCGAUUAGUUUACUAAGAGUGGAGAUGUUGGUAUCUUAGUGGCGGACGGGUGAGUAACGCGUGGGUAACCUGCCUUACACUGGGGGAUAACACUUAGAAAUAGGUGCUAAUACCGCAUAACAGGAGAAGACGCAUGUCUUAUCCUUGAAAACUCCGGUGGUGUAAGAUGGACCCGCGUCUGAUUAGCUGGUUGGCGGGGUAACGGCCCACCAAGGCGACGAUCAGUAGCCGGCCUGAGAGGGUGAACGGCCACAUUGGGACUGAGACACGGCCCAAACUCCUACGGGAGGCGGCAGUGGGGAAUAUUGGACAAUGGGGGGAACCCUGAUCCAGCGACGCCGCNUGAGUGAAGAAGUAUUUCGGUAUGUAAAGCUCUAUC
Molecule: ribosomal RNA, 450 nt
Filed under: uncultured bacterium
Lineage: Bacteria
Description: bacterial SSU rRNA
Rfam family: Bacterial small subunit ribosomal RNA
Source: RNAcentral